RNAcentral lists this ribosomal RNA (520 nucleotides) under uncultured Diversispora. Its description in RNAcentral is "SSU rRNA". It matches the Rfam family "Eukaryotic small subunit ribosomal RNA", at positions 569 to 1089 of the family's 1831-position model. The record is from RNAcentral. Lineage: Eukaryota; Fungi; Glomeromycota; Glomeromycetes; Diversisporales; Diversisporaceae.
AGCAGCCGCGGUAAUUCCAGCUCCAAUAGCGUAUAUUAAAGUUGUUGCAGUUAAAAAGCUCGUAGUUGAACUUCGGGGUUUACCCAUUGGUCAGGCUUAAUUGUCUGUACUGGUGAGAUAAAUCUCUACCUUCUGAGGAACUUUCAUGCCAUUUAUUUGGUGUGAUUGGAAAUCAGGACUAUUACUUUGAAAAAAUUGAGUGUUUAAAGCAGGCUAACGUCUGAAUAUAUUAGCAUGGAAUAAUGAAAUAGGACGGCUUGGUUCUAUUUCGUUGGUUUCUAGGAUCACCGUAAUGAUUAAUAGGGAUAGUUGGGGGCAUUAGUAUUCAAUUGUCAGAGGUGAAAUUCUUGGAUUUAUUGAAGACUAACUACUGCGAAAGCAUUUGCCAAGGAUGUUUUCAUUAAUCAAGAACGAAAGUUAGGGAUCGAAGACGAUCAGAUACCGUCGUAGUCUUAACCAUAAACUAUAGCCGACUAGGGAUCGGACGAAGUUAAUUUUAUAAUGACGCGUUCGGCACCUU